Molecule: ribosomal RNA, 637 nt
Filed under: uncultured bacterium
Lineage: Bacteria
Description: bacterial SSU rRNA
Rfam family: Bacterial small subunit ribosomal RNA
Source: RNAcentral
GCAGUCGACGGAGUUCUUAAGGAAUGCGACUUCGGUCAAAUGACUUUUGAACUUAGUGGCGGACGGGUGAGUAACGCGUGAGCAACCUGCCUUUCAGAGGGGGAUAACAUUUGGAAACAGAUGCUAAUACCGCAUAAGAUUACAGUACCGCAUGAUACAGUGAUCAAAGGAGCAAUCCGCUGAAAGAUGGGCUCGCGUCCGAUUAGAUAGUUGGUGAGGUAACGGCUCACCAAGUCGACGAUCGGUAGCCGGACUGAGAGGUUGAACGGCCACAUUGGGACUGAGACACGGCCCAGACUCCUACGGGAGGCAGCAGUGGGGAAUAUUGCACAAUGGGCGAAAGCCUGAUGCAGCAACGCCGCGUGAGGGAAGACGGUUUUCGGAUUGUAAACCUCUGUUUUCGGUGACGAACAAAUGACGGUAACCGAGUAGGAAGCCACGGCUAACUACGUGCCAGCAGCCGUGGUAAUACGUAGGUGGCAAGCGUUAUCCGGAAUUACUGGGUGUAAAGGGAGCGCAGGCGGGAUAGCAAGUCAGCUGUGAAAACUAUGGGCUCAACCCAUAAACUGCAGUUGAAACUGUUAUUCUUGAGUGGAGUAGAGGCAAGCGGAAUUCCGAGUGUAGCGGUGAAAUGCGU